Non-coding RNA from Pelobates cultripes (western spadefoot toad), 337 nucleotides. The record is from the annotation of a GenBank genome assembly. Lineage: Eukaryota; Metazoa; Chordata; Amphibia; Anura; Pelobatidae.
UCAAUCCUCUGCCAUUUAGGAGUUAAAUCCCUUUGUUUAUGAACCCUAGUCACACCUCCCUGCAUGUGACUUGCACAGCCUUCCAUAAACACUUCCUGUAAAGAGAGCCCUAUUUAGGCUUUCUUUAUUGCAAGUUCUGUUUAAUUAAGAUUUUCUUAUCCCCUGCUAUGUUAAUAGCUUGCUAGACCCUGCAAGAGCCUCCUGUAUGUGAUUAAAGUUCAAUUUAAAGAUUGUAUCUCAAUUAUUUAAGGUAAAUUACAUCUGUUUGAAAGUGAAACCAGUUUUUUUUUUUCAUGCAGGCUCUGUUAAUCAUAGCCAGGGGAGGUGUGGCUAGGGC